RNAcentral lists this ribosomal RNA (253 nucleotides) under uncultured bacterium. RNAcentral describes it as "partial 16S ribosomal RNA". It matches the Rfam family "Bacterial small subunit ribosomal RNA", at positions 524 to 776 of the family's 1533-position model. The record is from RNAcentral.
UACGUAGGGACCGAGCGUUGUCCGGAAUCAUUGGGCGUAAAGAGCGUGUAGGCGGCCAACUAAGUCCUGCGUGAAAUCUCGGGGCUCAACCCCGAGCGGUCGUGGGAAACUGGUUGGCUAGAGUGCGGGAGAGGAGAGUGGAAUUCCUGGUGUAGCGGUGAAAUGCGCAGAUAUCAGGAAGAACACCCGUGGCGAAGGCGGCUCUCUGGGACGGUACUGACGCUGAGACGCGAAAGCGUGGGGAGCGAACAGG